UUGAAGCGUAAGGCUUUCUUUUGCUUAUAGUUGUACUAGCAAUUUAGACAUGUCAUUCAUAGAGAUUUUGGUUCAAGACGACGAUGACAAAGAAGCUCAAGAAAAGAUGAUGAAUAUGGGUUCAUCAAUAAAUCAGAUCACUGGCAUACCAAAUUAAGCCAGGAAAAAUUGAAGAAGUCACCGGAAAAUAUGGUUGCUGGAUGAGGAGGACGAGGAGAGUUCAAUUUUUUUGAGUCUCCACCGGACGACCUUGUCCUUUCCAUCCUCACCAAACUCAACUCCACAGAGGAAUGCCCCUUUGAUUUCAUUAGUGUUUUAAGCACAUGUGUGUCUCCAUGGAUUUGAGAAUUAUUACAAUACUUCAUGGUUUGGCUCUCCAGUCUCAGGUCCUAUCGAAAGCUUUUAUAUAUGCAGAGACAAAUGCCACUAUUUGGAGCUGCCAUGCUAUAUAUACUUACUUAUUAAGUCAGUACGUGGCACAACCCUACAGCCCCGAAUGUUUCUUCAAGAUUAACAAUAAUCAGUGUCAUCAUCGAAAUUCACAGACUACUAAUCAUCACUAAUUAAUUUUAGCUUACCCCAUAUAUAGGAGGACUGUGAGCAAGGACUUUUUCAACAAGCUGUGUUCUAAUCUACAGCUUGUGGUGGAUUGUUGAUAUGUCUCUAAUAUUAAGGUUCAGCAGACGAGAACCGCAGGAAGAGGAAGAAGCAUUGAUCAGAAGAAGAAACAUGAAGCUCAGUACAAGGCAAUAGGCCAUGAGACCAGACUUGUUGCAGAAACUUUAAGAGUCAUAUUUAAUCUGUAUGUGUCUGAUGAUGAUAUGUUGAUCAUACAUGUAUAAUCAAUCAAUGAGGGCAUGUGGUUUUGGAAGACAGAUCUCACACGUGAAGAAGCAACUAUACAUAUGGAAGAGUACUGUUGGUCCUAGAGACAUCCUGGAAGGGUAGUGUAUUUGUAGUUCUUCUAUCUUUUGAAGUAUUUGAUGUUGUGGUAGUGUAUUUAUACAUGUUUUUCUAGACUACAAAUGUUAUUUGAGAUAAGUUGCUAGGUUGGAAAAUUACAAUCACAUUAUAUAUAAACAAGGGUUAAAUGGCAAACUCGCCUUUAGAUUA
Molecule: long non-coding RNA, 1113 nt
Organism: Prosopis cineraria
Lineage: Eukaryota; Viridiplantae; Streptophyta; Magnoliopsida; Fabales; Fabaceae
Exons: 2
Source: RefSeq, a predicted model, not a curated record